GAUGAACGCUGGCGGCGUGCCUAAUACAUGCAAGUCGAGCGAACAGACGAGGAGCUUGCUCCUCUGACGUUAGCGGCGGACGGGUGAGUAACACGUGGAUAACCUACCUAUAAGACUGGGAUAACUUCGGAAACCGGGACUAAUUACGGGUAAUAUAUUUUACCGCAUGGGUCAAUAAUUAAAAACGGUUUUUCUUUCACCUAAUGAUUGAUCCCGCCCGCAUUUGGUAGUUGGUAAGGUAACGGCUUACCAAGGCGACGAUUCGUAGCCGACCUGAGAAGGUGAUCGGCCACACUGGAACUGAGACACGGUCCAGACUCCUACGGGAGGCAGCAGUAGGGAAUCUUCCGCAAUGGGCGAAAGCCUGACGGAGCAACGCCGCGUGAGUGAUGAAGGUCUUCGGAUCGUAAGACUCUGUUAUUAGGGAAGAACAAAUGUGUAAGUAACUAUGCACGUCUUGACGGUACCUAAUCAGAAAGCCACGGCUAACUACGUG
RNAcentral lists this ribosomal RNA (496 nucleotides) under uncultured bacterium. RNAcentral's name for it is "partial 16S ribosomal RNA". It matches the Rfam family "Bacterial small subunit ribosomal RNA", at positions 28 to 507 of the family's 1533-position model. The record is from RNAcentral.